Long non-coding RNA from Cyprinus carpio carpio, 1276 nucleotides. Lineage: Eukaryota; Metazoa; Chordata; Actinopteri; Cypriniformes; Cyprinidae. The record is from Ensembl.
GUUUUUCACUCAAACAAUAUUUAGCACGAAUCUGUUAAUUGUGAAACCAGUUUAGUUUAAUCAGCAUUCCAGAAAUCUCAUUCGUUACAUUAUGUAUGACUGAAAAAUAUGCAUCACUUAAGUUUAUUAAUGUUAAAAAAUCUCAUCACUGUCUAUUUUUUGGACAAUGAAAGCAAUAUAAGCAAUGAAAGAGAAACUUCUGGGCAUUUUCCUCUGGAUGUGAGUAUAUGGUCCAAAACAGCAGUCUAAAAAACAUUUAGCAUUAUUAAGGUGAUUCACAUGACUUUGAACGAUGGAUAAUUUCACUGGUAACAGUUCUCACAGGUUUAGUGGGGAGAAAACGAGUAUAAAACUGUUGUUUUCUCUGUCCCUCAGGCCUGUAACAAUCCCAUCUUCAUCUGGCUCCUCUCUUUCUCUUCAGGCCGAUGGCAGGUUGCACUGUUUUGGAGGUCGUCCAGAAAUGAAAUGCAGAUUUGAGUCUCUUCUCCUCCCUUGCGCGGUCGCUCCCGCCCCAAGCGUGACAGCGGCACUUCAUUUCAACAAAUGCAUUUUUUCUGAGACUGUUUAAGGAAUAAGAUGAAUUUCUACAGAUGCCAGAUCUCCGUGUCGAUAUUCUACACCUUCUGCUUGUCCUCAUUAAGAGAGAGAUGCAUGACGGGAACUUCUGUCGGAUCUGUUUACAUGCAAAGAAGUUUUUGUACAGUAACUUUCUCACUCUGUGAACAACUUCUAACUUUGGACAGGACCGCUGAUGCAGAAUGAGUGAUGAAUGCGUUUGAGCAUAUGUUUUUGUAAUUAGUGCUUUAGAUUCAGAGUUAUUGAGGAUUACCGAGUGAACCCAAAUUAUCCCUCCUUUCAAAGACUUGUGAUUUGCUUUUAGGCUUAUACUUUUAUAUGAUGUUACAGUUAAAGCAUGUAAUAGUUUGACAUACUGUAAAAAAUAUUUUUGAAGUUGUGAAUUGGAGAAUGUUUUACAAGAAAAUAGUUUCUCCUUGAAAAUUGCAUGUUUGCCCUGCUGUUUUAUUGUAAUUGUUUGUGGAAAUUCACUGGAAAUUUUUGAGUAUGAACUGUGCCAAUUUUUUUUUUCUUUUUUUUUCAGGGUCAAAAUUAUUGACUUUUCUUUUAUGCGAAAAAUCAUUAGGAUAUUAAGAAAAAGUUCAUGUUCCAUGUAGAUAUUUUGUAAAUUUCUUACCAUAAAUAUAUCAAAACUUAAUUUUUGAUUAGUAAUAUGCAUUGCUAAGAAUUUCAUUUGGCUAACUAUUAAGGCGAGUUUUUU